This 478-nucleotide ribosomal RNA is filed under the name uncultured bacterium. Its description in RNAcentral is "partial 16S ribosomal RNA". It matches the Rfam family "Bacterial small subunit ribosomal RNA", at positions 28 to 507 of the family's 1533-position model. The record is from RNAcentral.
GAUGAACGCUGGCGGCGUGCUUAACACAUGCAAGUCGAACGGGAAACCUUUUAUUGAAGCUUCGGCAGAUUUAGCUGGUUUCUAGUGGCGGACGGGUGAGUAACUCGUGGGUAACCUGCCUUAUACAGGGGGAUAACAGUCAGAAAUGGCUGCUAAUACCGCAUAAGCGCACAGAGCUGCAUGGCUCAGUGUGCAAAACUCCGGUGGUAUAAGAUGGACCCGCGUUGGAUUAGCUGGUUGGUGGGGUAACGGCCCACCAAGGCGACGAUCCAUAGCCGGCCUGAGAGGGUGAACGGCCACAUUGGGACUGAGACACGGCCCAGACUCCUACGGGAGGCAGCAGUGGGGAAUAUUGCACAAUGGGGGAAACCCUGAUGCAGCGACGCCGCGUGAAGGAAGAAGUCUCUCGGUAUGUAAACUUCUAUCAGCAGGGAAGAUAAUGACGGUACCUGACUAAGAAGCCCCGGCUAACUACGUG